AGAGUGGAUUGAGUGAUCGCUUGCAUUGCGAGAGGAAAGUCCGAACUCCAAAGGGAAAGAUACUGGAUAACAUCCAGGUGUCGUGAGGCAACGGAAAGUGCCACAGAAAAUAACCGCCUUUAAUAAACAUAUGAUAUUAAAGGUAAGGGUGAAAAGGUGGUGUAAGAGACCACCGUUUUUUUUGGUGACAAGAAAAGGCUAGGCAAACCCUAUCUGGAGCAAGACCAAGUAAAGAAGCUGUUAUCCCUUACAUAGGCUUCUGGGUGGGUCGCUUGAAGCUGCAAGUAAUUGCAUGCUCAGAUAAAUGAUCACAUAAAACAGAAUUCGGCUUACUAAUCCACUCUUCUU
Molecule: RNase P RNA, 348 nt
Filed under: bacterium
Lineage: Bacteria
Description: RNase P RNA component class A
Rfam family: Bacterial RNase P class A
About the family: Ribonuclease P (RNase P) is a ubiquitous endoribonuclease, found in archaea, bacteria and eukarya as well as chloroplasts and mitochondria.
Source: RNAcentral